Long non-coding RNA from Scylla paramamosain (green mud crab), 738 nucleotides. RefSeq lists it as uncharacterized. NCBI's taxonomy places the organism in Eukaryota, Metazoa, Arthropoda, Malacostraca, Decapoda, Portunidae. The transcript has 4 exons. The record is from RefSeq and is a predicted model, not a curated record.
CACGUCGCAGAAUGGAAUGAACGGGUAUUUUAUAUCACAACAUUUGAACACAAAAAACAAUGACUAAUUACAAAGUAUCGUUAAAGCAAGCAAGGGGGAGGAGGAGAAGGAUAGAGGUAAAGAAGGAAGAAGUGGAGGGCGAAAGGCAUUUCUCCAGAGGACCGGGUGCAGAAUACGCGAGCGUUGGAACAUUGCUUCCAUCGUGGGUGGCGGCUUGAAAGGAGGUGACCCCUCCCAAUCCCUAAGUCGGUAGCAGGAGCACCCUCCCUCCGACUUGAUCCUACAUGAUGGUGCCACAUCCUGCCAACAGUCCCUGUCCUGCAGGUGUCUGCAGGUGUAAAUGAAGAUCACCACCUGCCUCAAGACUAGCAUAUCUUCCAGAGUGGGAAGGAAGACUUCAUACCGGCUCAUACCUCUCCCUUCUAAGGAAAAUAUUCGAAGGAAGGAGACGGGACUUAACCCUCCUGCAUUGAGGGAUGAGGGAAGAAACCAUUAUUUGCCUCUAUCUUGUGAUGCAUGAUGCCACCCGACUGCUGUUGCUCGCAUGUCCUACUAACAAAAAUGUCAGCUAGAUGGAAUCACUAUUAAUGACAACGCUACCCACAGCUGGAAGCUUUUAAUUUCUGAUCAUGGUUUUUCUUCCAACGCUACCUACAGCUGGUGUAAUCUUUGUAAUCUUCCAACGCUACCUACAGCUGGUGUAAUCUUUGUAAAUUCCAUUAAAAGUUUUUAAUUUGA